GACGAACGCUGGCGGCGUGCUUAACACAUGCAAGUCGAACGGAAAGGCCCUGCUUUUGUGGGGUGCUCGAGUGGCGAACGGGCGAGUAACACGUGAGUAACCUGCCCUUGACUUUGGGAUAACUUCAGGAAACUGGGGCUAAUACCGGAUAGGAGCUCCUGCUGCACGGUGGGGGUUGGAAAGUUUCGGCGGUUGGGGAUGGACUCGCGGCUUAUCAGCUUGUUGGUGGGGUAGUGGCUUACCAAGGCUUUGACGGGUAGCCGACCUGGGAGGGUGACCGGCCACAAUGGGACUGAGGUACGGCCCAGACUCCUACGGGAGGCAGCAGUGGGGAAUAUUGCGCAAUGGGCGGAAGCCUGAUGCAGCGACGCCGCGUGCGGGAUGACGGCCUUCGGGUUGUAAACCGCUUUCGCCUGUGACGAAGCGUGAGUGACGGUAAUGGGUAAAGAAGCACCGGCUAACUACGUG
RNAcentral lists this ribosomal RNA (468 nucleotides) under uncultured bacterium. RNAcentral's name for it is "partial 16S ribosomal RNA". It matches the Rfam family "Bacterial small subunit ribosomal RNA", at positions 28 to 507 of the family's 1533-position model. The record is from RNAcentral.